UCAAAAAGAUGGCCAUGUGCUACACAUCACAACCCUUCUUCCACUCAUAAUUUAUUCUCUUAGUAUAAUAUUUGCCUAUAAAAAGGGUUAUGUUUGUUCAAGAGGAAGAAUAUAUCACAAGAAACUCGCCCAAGUGCCUUAAGGCCUUUUGAGUGUUCAUUUACAUAUUUCCAUAUCAAAAUUAUAUAAUAUUUUUGAUUAGGGCUACAUUGUCUUUGUUUGUUGAUCAGUAUUAUGAGCUCCAUAGUAGGUGAGAAUUGGGAGCACGUGGAGAGCCAAGACUGGUCGGAGUUGUCGCCACGAAAUCACAAUAUUCUAAUGUCAUUGCUGGAUGAAACGCAGAUCGACGAGUGUGAUGAUGAAAGACUAACAAAAGUGAUCCAGUCUUUACAAGAUGAACUCGAUGAUUGUGCAUGGGAGAGUAGCCAAUCAUCUAUUGAUGAGUUGUAUCCGUCGAUGGCUGCCGUUGAUGUUGAUCUUCAAUGGAUCGAUGUAGAGAUGAUGCCUAUGAUUCAUGAAGCCCCUUAGCAAGGGGCAGGUCUGCAACGCCAAGAAGACUCUCUCCUCCAUGGCUUUCGACGACAUCAACAUCAAAUUUCCCAACCCAAUACAUCACACAAAUCUCAAUUCAACGACAUAAGUUGUGAAUCAAUCAAGAGUGCCGAAGGCAGGGGAGCCGGCGAUGUGAAAAAAUCGACACCAAAAUCCAUGAAUGGUGGCGCUCCAGUUUUCGGUGGGGCACAUCACCUUCUUGAGUACCUUUGUAUUGAUUUUUAGUGAUUUCUUUAUUUUGUAAUUUUUUGGAUAAGAUGGGUUAUUGUUGUAUGAUUGUAUCAAAAUAAAGGGAAGCAGAGAGAGAAAUAAAAGGAAGGGAUGGGAUAAUUUUCA
This is a long non-coding RNA of Salvia miltiorrhiza (redroot sage), 888 nucleotides long. RefSeq lists it as uncharacterized. The transcript has 2 exons. NCBI's taxonomy places the organism in Eukaryota, Viridiplantae, Streptophyta, Magnoliopsida, Lamiales, Lamiaceae. The record is from RefSeq and is a predicted model, not a curated record.